UUUGAUCCUGGCUCAGAUUGAACGCUGGCGGCAGGCCUAACACAUGCAAGUCGAGCGGAUGAAGAGAGCUUGCUCUCUGAUUCAGCGGCGGACGGGUGAGUAAUGCCUAGGAAUCUGCCUGGUAGUGGGGGACAACGUUUCGAAAGGAACGCUAAUACCGCAUACGUCCUACGGGAGAAAGCAGGGGACCUUCGGGCCUUGCGCUAUCAGAUGAGCCUAGGUCGGAUUAGCUAGUUGGUGAGGUAACGGCUCACCAAGGCGACGAUCCGUAACUGGUCUGAGAGGAUGAUCAGUCACACUGGAACUGAGACACGGUCCAGACUCCUACGGGAGGCAGCAGUGGGGAAUAUUGGACAAUGGGCGAAAGCCUGAUCCAGCCAUGCCGCGUGUGUGAAGAAGGUCUUCGGACUGUAAAGCACUUUAAGUUGGGAGGAAGGGCAUUAACCUAAUACGUUAGUGUUUUGACGUUACCGACAGAAUAAGCACCGGCUAACUUCGUGCCAGCAGCCGCGGUAAUACGAAGGGUGCAAGCGUUAAUCGGAAUUACUGGGCGUAAAGCGUGCGCAGGCGGUCCGCUAAGACAGAUGUGAAAUCCCCGGGCUUAACCUGGGAACUGCAUUUGUGACUGGCGGGCUAGAGUAUGGCAGAGGGGGGUAGAAUUCCACGUGUAGCAGUGAAAUGCGUAGAGAUGUGGAGGAAUACCGAUGGCGAANGCAGCCCCCUGGGCCAAUACUGACGCUCAUGCACGAAAGCGUGGGGAGCAAACAGGAUUAGAUACCCUGGUAGUC
RNAcentral lists this ribosomal RNA (788 nucleotides) under uncultured bacterium. Its description in RNAcentral is "bacterial SSU rRNA". It matches the Rfam family "Bacterial small subunit ribosomal RNA", at positions 12 to 795 of the family's 1533-position model. The record is from RNAcentral.